AUGGCAGUGGCGAGUACCUCUUCGUCUCUCCGCCUCCUGCCUCUCCUCCUCGUACUCCUACUCACUGCCACCAGCGAGGCCACCACAUUCAAAAUCAUCAACCAAUGCUCCUACACCAUGUGGCCAGCCGUUCUGCCGGGAGGUGGCGUGAAGCUCGAUCCGGGGGAGACGUGGGAGCUGAACGUGCCCGCUGGUACCUCAGCAGGGCGCAUCUGGGCGCGCACAGGCUGCUCACUCCUUGGCAAAGGCGGGUCAUGCCAAACUGGCGACUGCAGCGGCUUGCUCACCUGUACGGUCAGUGGUAGAUCGCCAAACACGCUGGGCGAGUUCAGGCUUGGCCAAGGCCAAAGUGAUGAUGAUUUCUUCGACAUCUUGCUCACUGAUGGCUUCAACGUGCCCAUGGACUUCCUGCCGGUGCCGGUUCAGGGAAAGUCAGGGUGCAGCAAGGGGCCGCGCUGUGCAGCCAACAUCACAUCGCAGUGCCCAAGAGAGCUGAAGGCUCCGGGAGGGUGUAACAAUCCAUGUAUUAGGAGCGCAGAAAGCAAUUGCAGUUACACAAUUAACUCGGUCUUCUUUAAGCGGUUGUGCCCAGAUGCCUACAGCAAUCCCAACGAUUUUUCCACUUUCACUUGCCCGACGGGCACAGACUACCAGGUCAUCUUCUGUCCCCUGAUUAAUCAAGCAAUAUCGCCUACAGCUGAAAGUCCCCUGCCUGCGCCCCCCGCCAAUGUAACACCUCCGACCCCAGCUCCUGUAGGCGGCUUCAUUUUGUUCACCAUCAUGAUCCUCAGCAUCUUCUUUAUAUGCAAACGAAGAACACAACGACAGAAUGAGAUGGAAGAAGAAGAAGAGUUUGGGGAGCUACAAGGUACACCAAUGAGGUUCACAUUCCAACAGCUAAAAGCAGCAACCGAGCAAUUCGCAGACAAGCUCGGGGAAGGAGGAUUUGGGUCUGUUUUCAAGGGACAAUUUGGUGAUCAAAGGAUUGCAGUGAAACGUUUGGAUCGAACUGGUCAGGGCAAAAGUGAAUUUUCAGCAGAGGUUCAGACAAUUGGCAGCAUUCAUCAUAUUCAUCUGGUGAGAUUGAUUGGUUUCUGUGCAGAGAAAUCCCAUAGGCUCUUGGUAUAUGAGUACAUGCCCAAAGGAUCCUUGGACAGAUGGAUUUAUUGUCGACAUGACAAUGAUGCCCCUCCUUUAGAUUGGAGCACGCGGUGCAAGAUUAUAACUCACAUAGCUAAGGGCCUCUCUUAUCUUCAUGAGGAGUGCACAAAAAGAAUUGCUCAUUUGGAUGUCAAACCGCAAAAUAUUCUCUUAGAUGACAACUUCGAUGCUAAACUUUCUGAUUUUGGACUAUGCAAGCUCAUCGACAGGGAUAUGAGCCAAGUGGUUACCAGAAUGAGAGGCACACCUGGAUAUUUAGCUCCUGAAUGGUUGACAUCACAGAUCACGGAAAAGGCGGAUAUCUACAGCUUUGGCAUCGUGGUCAUGGAAAUCAUCAGUGGAAGAAAGAACCUUGACACUUCCCGGUCAGAAGAGAGCGUCCAUCUCAUCACCCUAUUGGAGGAAAAGGUGAAGAAUGAUCAGUUGGUAGAUUUGAUUGACAAUAACAGUAACGACAUGCAAGCACACAAGCAAGAUGUAAUUCAGAUGAUGAUGCUUGCAAUGUGGUGCUUGCAGAUUGAUUGCAAAAAAAGGCCUAAAAUGUCCGAAGUCGUCACAGUCCUAGAAGGUGCCAUGGAUGUUGACACCAACAUAGAUUAUAACUUUGUCGCAACAGGUCGAGCUAAUUUUGGUAAUGAUGGAAGUGUGAACUCCUCAGCUCCACCUGUAGGCUCAGAUCUAUCAGGGCCCAGGUGA
Molecule: ribosomal RNA, 1857 nt
Filed under: Triticum aestivum (bread wheat)
Lineage: Eukaryota; Viridiplantae; Streptophyta; Magnoliopsida; Poales; Poaceae
Description: partial small subunit ribosomal RNA
Source: RNAcentral